Molecule: ribosomal RNA, 427 nt
Filed under: uncultured bacterium
Lineage: Bacteria
Description: partial 16S ribosomal RNA
Rfam family: Bacterial small subunit ribosomal RNA
Source: RNAcentral
UGGGGAAUAUUGCACACUGGGCGCAAGCCUGAUGCAGCCAUGCCGCGUGUAUGAAGAAGGCCUUCGGGUUGUAAAGUACUUUCAGCGGGGAGGAAGGCGAUAAGGUUAAUAACCUUGUCGAUUGACGUUACCCGCAGAAGAAGCACCGGCUAACUCCGUGCCAGCAGCCGCGGUAAUACGGAGGGUGCAAGCGUUAAUCGGAAUUACUGGGCGUAAAGCGCACGCAGGCGGUCUGUCAAGUCGGAUGUGAAAUCCCCGGGCUCAACCUGGGAACUGCAUUCGAAACUGGCAGGCUAGAGUCUUGUAGAGGGGGGUAGAAUUCCAGGUGUAGCGGUGAAAUGCGUAGAGAUCUGGAGGAAUACCGGUGGCGAAGGCGGCCCCCUGGACAAAGACUGACGCUCAGGUGCGAAAGCGUGGGGAGCAAACA